This 70-nucleotide transfer RNA is filed under the name Darthula hardwickii. Its description in RNAcentral is "tRNA-Asn". Lineage: Eukaryota; Metazoa; Arthropoda; Insecta; Hemiptera; Aetalionidae. The record is from RNAcentral.
UUAAUUGAAGCCAAAUAUCCUAGAGGCAUUUUAUUGUUAAUAAAAUUAUUGAUUUUAAAUUCCAAUUAAA